Molecule: long non-coding RNA, 1945 nt
Organism: Nomascus leucogenys (northern white-cheeked gibbon)
Lineage: Eukaryota; Metazoa; Chordata; Mammalia; Primates; Hylobatidae
Exons: 4
Source: RefSeq, a predicted model, not a curated record
UUCACCUAUUUGUUCACUUAUUCUUUUAUUGUGAGUGCGCAUGUGUGUGGGUGUGUGUGACAUUUAUUACAAACCAGAAAGCAGGAGCCAGCGACACAGUGGUGCAGAGAAUAAUCAUAUUCCCUGCCUUCAUGGGGGCAUACAGCUUGGUGGAGGACACAGAUGUGAAUUCAAUAAUUGUUCCAAUAAAUAUUCUCCUACAGAUGAAGAAAGAUGAUAUGAUGUGAUGGACAACAGAGACUUAUAUGGUGGGGUCUGGGCUGGUCUUUCUGAAGCUAAGACUGGCAGGAUGAGCAGGAGUUUGCCAGACAAAGAGGAGUGGAGGUGUUUUCCAAACACAUCGCAGCAUAAAGUGUUGUCUUCGCUGGGAGCUGAAAAAAGAUAAUGUGGCCAGAGACCAUUAGGUGAGAUGCUGGAUAUGAGAUACAGCCUCAGCAGGUGGAAGAAGAUCGUGAGAGACGAAGAGAGGAAUAUAGUACAGCAGAGAGGACACAGAAGCUGAGGUCAAGGUGUCUCAGUUUGAAACCAGUGGCCACCCUGUUCCUCUCCCAUGUGGUCCCAUCAUGGGCCUUUAGGGUCUGGGAUAAGAGGUUAAUGAAUAUCUCAUACCCUAAGCAGGGGUGGUCCCUGCACUUUAGCAAAAAGUUAAGGAACUAGGGAAAAGAGAUGGAAAUAAUAAAGAAAUGGGACACAGACUUUGAAGACCAAAACCCUUGGGCUAUUCUCUCUUUUAAAUUUUUUAUUUAUAUUUUCUUUUAUUUUUAUCAAGACAGGGUCUCACUAUGUUGCCCAGGUUGGUCUCAAACUUCUGGCCUAAAGCAAUCCUCCCACCUUGGCCUCCCAACGUGCUGGGAUUACAAUGUGAGCCACCACGUCCGGCCUCCUGGGAUAUUUCUCAAUGAAACAUUGGAUGCCAAGAUUGGUUUUGUACCACAUGCCAAUUUCACAAAAGCCAGUCUAUGAGCCACCAGCUCUACUCAGCAAUUACAGCUUCCGGAACUUUGGCUAAAUUCCCGUAGAUGCACCACUGCUUGUGGCCUGACUCUUUACCACCCAAGUGCGCUCAGCCUCCCCUGGCGAGUCUGCCAGGCUUGCAUGGCUCCCACUGCACUUGCUGUGCUGGGACCGAAAACAGUUUUUGUGUCCCUAGCUUAACUCCACUGGAUUCACAGAGGCUUUGGCCUCCUCAAUGGCUGUCCUGGGACAGGGAGGCCAGUUAGCACAAUUAACACAACCUGGUCAUGCAAGGCAUUGAUGGUCCGUAACAUGAACUUUGACCAGUAGGAGACAGAGAAUGGUAAAAAGCCAGCAGAUAAAUCAUCUGGCCUUCCUCCCCUAUGACAGACUGUUCUGAGCCACAGCGUUUCACAUAUCUUCCCUGGAGAUGUCCCACAUGACUUGAGCAACCAGCUGGAGUUCUGGAGAAACUGUGGCCAUUCUAAGGAAGAAACAGGCCCAGAGAAGUUGGGUAACUCACCAAAGGUCACAGAACUAAGAGUGGCAGAUUCAGGCUUGGAGCCCAGGAAGUCUUGUUUCAAAUUUCAUGCUUCUAACCUGAGCGCUGUACUGCUUGGUGGAGUUCUCUGCUAGUCCUACCUUUCAGGCAGAGGUGAUGCAGCGAGAAAGCUGCCACCAGAUGCAGCCCCUUGAUCUUGGACUGCCCAGCCUCUAGAACUGAGUUGAAGAGCAAUUCCCUCCAUUUUCCAUUAGAAAUGCUUCUUCUUCCAUAUCAAAUAUUGUGGGAUAGCUUGAGACACAUUUCAACACUUCAUUACCCUUCUCCAAAAUUCAACAGAUAGGAUUUCCACAGACUUUACUCACGGAGGCUCCAGUAGAAGGGGAAGAGGCUUGGGUUUAAUUGAAGGUGGCCUCAGACAUCUGUGAGGAACAGCCCUUUUAGAGACAUAUCCCCUAUAAAGACAGCAUCAGAAUUAUUACCCUAAUA